This is a long non-coding RNA of Numida meleagris (helmeted guineafowl), 3041 nucleotides long. RefSeq lists it as uncharacterized. The transcript has 3 exons. The record is from RefSeq and is a predicted model, not a curated record. NCBI's taxonomy places the organism in Eukaryota, Metazoa, Chordata, Aves, Galliformes, Numididae.
AGCGGGGCGAAGCGCGGACUCUUUACGGGAAGUCGGAAGGAGCGCGGCGGUGCUGAGGCGAGGUGAAGGGGCGGAGGCGGGGGAGCGGCGGACACGUGAGGCGGCGGCCGCCGCGGACGGCGCCGGGCCCUGCGCUGUGCGGGGCCGCUCCCGCCCCGCUCCCAGCGCCGCCCGCGGGAGGGCCCUCCGGACGGGAACGGCUCCGCCCGCGCGGUGCGGCCUCGGGGUGGGGAGUGAGGGGGGAGAGAGCGAGCGGGGCCUCGCGCAGCGCAGGGCCGCGAACGAGGCGCAGAAAUGGCACAUGCGGGAGUUGAACUGCAGAAAUCCAAAGCGCUGAAACCAGGAAUGCAGACGUUGCAAUCGAGAAAUUUGGAAAACGUGAAUCUGAAAUGCGGUAAUCAUCGGAGCGCAGCAGGGACCCGGCUUUAGGCAUCUCGCUGGUGCCCGCUCUGUUCAAGUGGUGCUUUCACCACCGAGCACCCAUCUAUCACUGUUAAAAGACCGUGUACACGCAGGAUUAGUAAGAGCAGCUGUAACUUGAAAACCAAGAGCGAAAUUGAUUUAUAGCCAUGGUUACUCAAAAUGCUCUGACUUUAAUCUAUUCGUAGAGAUGCUCUGGAAGUCCCGCAGGACUCGGAUGCCGUGAGAAGGAGCAAUCCUGCUGGGCGGGCAGUGUUCGUACACCUUGCUUGCACAGCAACAGUUCUCCCAUGCGGCUAAAAGCUGUGGGUGGCAGCACAGUGGCCCAGAAAACCCUGUGGUUAACACCUUAUGAACAAAAUGACAGAUACCAGCACAAACAUUACUCCAUUGAAAAUAUUUGUCCAAAACUGAGCCGGCAGCUUUAAGGAACUUUGGUGAAUUUGCAAAACGUUUUGCUAUUGCCCAGCCACAGAACUGGGAGAGGACACUGAGGAGUUCUGCAGGAGACAGCAGUGUGUGCAGAGGUUGAUCCCAGUGGAUCUCAAACAGAGGGCCCCCAAUUGCCACCACAGCAGCAGAGACGCAGCAGGUGGGGAAGAUGAAGGUCCCAAAUGCAACUUGAAAUGAAUCCGAGUGAGCUGCAGGUAGCAGGGCUCCGCAUUCUGCACUGUGUUUCAUCCGCUUUUUUCACUUGAUAAAACAAGUUUCCCAGAAAGCACAAGGAAGUCUGAUAGUAGGCUCCAACAAAUCCAGGUCCCUUAAGGUUGUUUUGGUUUUGUUUGUUUUUUUUUAAUGGAAAGGAAGUCAUUACAGUGCUUUUUCAGCUAAGCGCGUUAUAGUGUGCAGCAAUUAGUCCCUGUGUGUGUGAUGAAGGUUAAGAACCGCUGCAGGGUCCUGUGGGCACACAGAGUCUCCAGUAUCAGAGGAUGUCACAGGUACAAGCAAGUUCUGUGGUCAGAGAUGGUUUCUAAGACAUGAUAUGAACACACUAACUUAUAUUUUGGGGUAACAUUAUGUCCUCUGAGAGUGAUUGCAUGAAUAAGACUCUCGUGUUGGUGUCUGCAGCAAUGACUCAAGCGCAGUUGCUGUUUGACUUGUUCUCUCCUUCAAUGUAUUCUUUGUUUUGCUAAGCUCUGGCUUCCAUUGUGCCCUCCCAUUUUUGCUUGUCGAGCAUCUUCACUCAAACACUCAGAAGCAAGCACAGCAGUGACCAGGUUGAAGGGGCUCCGUUUCACCCACCAAGAGCUGUGUCAGGUGCUGGAUCCUUCGGAGGCUGCCAGUGCCAUGCCAGUGCUGGUGCCACUCUGCAGCUUUCUGCUGUGAGCCCGCCUGCAGUGCACCACGAUCACACUGCUGUCCCGGCACACGGCGUCCUGUCCUGUGGUGUUGGCUUCUCCCUGCUCACAGCCCUUUGAUAGCCAGCAAUUCCCACUACUCUGUUUUUAUUAUUUUAUGAUUUGUCUCUAUUGAUUUUUUCCCCCCCCUUUUCUUUUUCCGAUGCAGUGCUUUAGCUGUAGAAAAAAUCAAGAUUCGGGAUUACACGCUCCACAGCCAAGAAACAAAAGCAACUAUUUCUAGUGGGGAGUCACGUCCUAUUUUGCCCUUUCCGUUCCCAUUCCAGGUUAGAGCUGGUCUUUUUCAAGACCGCUAUUUUCCUUCAGUUUUGUGCCUACAUGUGCAAGCUGUGUUUGCACAUGAAGAUUAACGAGCCUGAUAACAUCACUGCUUCCCCGGAAGUGCUGCAUGAUGCAAUGUUUCCUUGACAGAACCGCUCCAAGGCACCGCGCACUUCCCGAGGUUCAGCGCGGUGAAACAUGCGUGCCUACGGAGGGACAGCCAGCACGAGUGCCUGAUGUUUAUUGUAUGCAAAAUCAGCUGCUAGAGCAGCACAGGACUGAGUAUUUCUACACGUUUUCUUUUCCCUGAAGACUUCUUCUAUUUAUCCAUUACCACAAAACCUGUUCUUAGAGGCAAAAGCUUUGCCAACAACACUUAUAGGCAUGGGAAUCUCCGAGCGCUUGGAAAACAAAUCAGGUGCUCCAGCAAAUGAGGAGUGCUUCCCAGAGAGAUACGGUAUCAGCUAGUCAGCAAAGCUGCAAUCAGUUGUAAUUGAUGAAUGCACCACUGGCCAGACCAGAAUUAGGUACAUGCACAUGAAUGAGCAAAGCCCGAGCUCCAGCCACGCAGGAGAGGCUGCCACUGCUGGUUCUGCUGUGCAGUGGCUUUGCAUCGCUUGUGGUCCCUCAAAAUCACAGCUUGGCUGCAAGGAGACACCAGCUCCCAGCAAACAUAUUUUUUGAUCCACAAGUGCACUUUUAUACCGACUUGUUCCCAAUUUCUAUCACCCACCAGCACCCUCCUCCAGCUCCAUUCAGGCUAUGGAAGACAGAUGCGCUGCUGAGCCACGCAUGCAACUAAUGGGAGAUGAAGGAAAGUGCAAACAUCCACAGGGCUUGGGGCUGAGGUACAGAAUGGUUGGAGAGGGUCUCUGGGUCACCAAGUUUGAUCCCAACCUAUUCCCACGGAACCAUGUCAUCAGUGCCACAUCUCCAUGUUUCUUGAACACCUGCAGGGUCAGUGACUCCAUCUCUUCCCCGGGCAGCCUGACCCAAUGCUUG